GUAAACCAGGUUAAUGGUUAAUUUGCACGUCUUAUAAUCCAUUCUUCUAGAUUUAAAACAGCAUCCAAUUUUUUCUCUUUUGUUACUUUGCCGGCAGUGACUCAUGACUUCACCAGUUUAUUAAGUCAAUUCACAACAGUACGAUGCACCAAACAGCUGACGCUGCAAAAUAAUAAUAAGAUGAAUGACUUUCAGCUGCUCUAUUCUUCAGCAGCCUCCACAGUGGGUGAUCUGCACAGUGAUGUUUGGCACUGUUUUUACAUUAGAUGCCGUUCUUGGUGUAACCCUUCUCAUUUUAAUAAGGUUUAGGACCGGUGAAGACCAAAGGCUGUGUGGCUAACUCUGAUGCUAAAUGAAAGCAAGGCAUUUAACAUUGAUAGCUUUCUAUAAUGUGUAACUUCUACUUAUCUGUUUCAUCUGGUCUUUGUUGAAUUAGAACUCUGGAAUAUAUUUUACUAUGCAUUUUGUUUAAAAGACAUACUAUAAUAUGCAGCUCUUACAUUAAUAAACUCAAAGCAGGAGCAAAACCAUUGCUGAAGUACAACUCUGGAAUAAUUUGACUACAAACAACUCCUGAACCUGAAGUUUCCCCUCUGUCAAUGAACACAGCACAAAUGCGACUAAAGUCUCAAGACUGAUGUGUAAGCAGCAGUAAGACUAUUUUUACUGGGAGUCAGUGGACAGUUCAGGAUAUGACCACGCUGCUGCUUAUGGGAGGAGGCUUGUAUUUCCAUCCCACAGGUCUCCCUGAAGCCAAAAUUGACGUAUGCCCUGGUAUGUGACACAGAUCGUCUUUCAGGCCAGAUGAGAGUGUAAAAGGUGAGAAUGAGACAGAUCUGAAAGUUCAAGACUCAAACAGUAGCACUAAACAAAAUCUAACCUUAUUUAACAGCAGUUAAUCCUGUAGGAAUUGUAUCAUGUAUUAUAAGACACAGAACUGGAAUUGAUGGUUAUUUAAUAUAAUUCACUUGGUCGGUGAAAUGCAAGUAAUACGUUUUAUUAUUAUAAAGUUGCAAAUAGCCUACUAGAAGAUGGAUUGUUCAUUUAAAAUACAUUUUUACCAUUAAAAUGAGAUGUUCUUUAGCUGGGUGGUUAAAUAAUCAUAGAAUUUGACACUGGUGCAGAGCUGCAUAUAAAGCAAUUAACAUCACUCAUAAUAAUAGUAGUGCAUUUGCAUUGUUAAUGACGUAAACAAUUAUCAUUAGAGAACAUUGUUGUAAUUAAUUAUUAUUAUUCAUGUCAGAACAGGACCUUAUGGUUUGGCUGAAAUUAUUAAUCUAAACUAUAGCUUUGCCAUUUUUAAAAAUGAAUGUAUGUAACUGACAUACAUUUUAAUAUUUGAAAAAUAUUCAGCUUUCCAUAUGUGAAUGUAUUCUGGUUUUCUCUUGUUUGUAGACAAACAAAAGACAUUUGACGAUGUCAUAAUUCUAGAAUUUGGAAACGUAGUUUUCUGCAUUUAACUGAUCAAAUGACAACUAAUCAAAACUGUAAUUACACAAAUAAAAAUGAUUAUAAAAUGGCAACAUUUCAUCGAGUCGCACUUCUUGAGGCUAAUGCUCUAAUUGUUUUUAUGUCAGUAACAUGUUUUGGUAACAUUCUGACAUUUUAAACAGGUACAAAGCUAGUGGAACAUUUGACUGUUUACCAGAAAUCCAUAAUAUCUAAAUCUCUUUACUUUAUUAUGUAUACAACGAUUGUGUUCUUAAUACCAAUCGUGACAGGAGAAUUUAAUUCGGUGUCUGUUGUUCUCUUGUCAUCGGCAGCAGCUGUGAAGGCAGCAGCAGUUUACGCUAACUGCUAACGUGCUAAUACCACACGGGCACCAAACAACAGGCGGUGAUAAAAAAAUCCCCUCUACAAAGUCACAAGAAUAACACCGCCUGCAUAUGAAAUUGUGGGACCCGAAGACCAUAACCACACUGACUGUGUUCAUUACACCGGACCCUGAGGCGUCAAAGUGUCUCCACAGAAAUAUGAUCUGCCCAUCUAUGGACAGAGAACACACAGUCCCUGAACACCACCUCCUCCACCUGUGCACCUGUCAGAAAGGAAGGUUUAAAGGUCUUCCACUUUUCCACUGCAACUUUUUACAACAUCCCAUGUCGUCUUCUCCAGUGAUGGAGGAAACAGGAGGAGGAGAAGGAGCAGAGAAGUAGGCGGAGGGCUGGAGAGAGAGGAGCAGAGGAGAGAGACCUCCUCUCCAUAUGUCUGCUUCGUUUGCAUCUGAAAGCUGGAGGGAGGAGGAGUGGCUCAAACAGCCUCCUGCAUCAUCAGCAAGGAUGAUGAAGAUGAUGAUUAUGGGAUGAAGGAGGCGCUCCUGACAUACAGACACCUGGGUCAUGACCCUGUGGCUCUUUGCAAACAUCUGUGGCUGCUGCGCAUUCCCUGACACUGUCCUCUGACCAAUCAGCUCUCUGAAACAACGAGCGACCUGCACCCCGCGGCCACGCCCACCCCACGCUCAUCUACAUGCGCUUCUGUAUGGAGUACUCUGAUCUAUGGUCUCUGUCUUUGUGUACCUCAGACAUGGAAGAAGAAUAUGAAGAAAGAAGAGAAUGAUGAUGCGCUAACGAUAUGGAGGAGGAAGAUCACAUCAGGUCUGAUUCUCUGCUGCACCCUGGUGGUUCAGCUGCUGCUGUAAACCUGACCGAUACACCUUUUUGGCCCACAAGUCUGCAACCUCAAAGUGCAGUGUUCCUUUUGGUUUAUUUUGGAACAUCAGCUUAGGAUAAAUAUUAACGUAGUUGCAGUUAUUUUAGACUCAUAUAUAUCCUUACUGCUUUUUUAAUCUUUGGUUUAUUUUAUGUACUGUGUGAAUUAAUUUGAACUCUUUGAUUUGACAGUUGGGGUCAUUCUGAUAACUUGGUGAGUAUCAACAAUUGUUUUGUUUAAAUAAGUUUUUUUCUUUUUGCCAUGAUGAUUUUUUCUCAAACCACACGUCAUACAAGAUGCUUUAAUUAGUAAAAACGUUUGAGGUAGUGUUGACCGUCUUUCUCAUCAGCUUGAGUCCUUGGCUUUAAAUGUCAAAGACCACUGGUUUAUAGCACUGCUGUUUUUCUACGCACAACAAUGUAUAUCGAUUGCUUAGGGCGCGUGGGUACUAUUUUGUGACAUUUAAAUUGUGAAAAUUUGUAAAUGUUCUAAAUUAGGACAGUUUUUUCCUUGAAGUACUUUGUUAAAAUGCACCAUCUUUACUAAUCGUUACUGAAUAACAUAUGGUCAUUGCUGCCCUCUAUCGGACAAAUUUAAAACUGCGGCCUGUUCCUUUUAAUGUACCAAUACUAUUUACACAAUUUAAUAGAAAUUCAUAUUGUGAUAUGGUCAUUUGUUAAUUUUUUUUAUCCUGCUUCCAUCUCAGUUAUACAUGGACAUAUCAAUAACAGUAUUAACCCAUUUUUAAAUCAUGGCUUGCUAUGAAUAGAAGUAUUCCCAGCUCUUUAGAGAUAGGCACACACACAUAGAUGGCACCACAGAAACAGACAACAUUUCUGAGUAAACAUUUUUAAAAUUUUAAUUCAUUUAAGAAAAAAUAGAUUUUUUUAAAACAUUUUCCUUCAAUAACUUUAAUACAGAACAUUUAAAAAAAACCUCAAACCUCAGUUAAUAAGGCAGCAGAGACAGACAAACUAUUUGGUGUGUUAAACAAGGGUCCAACAGGGACUGUAG
Long non-coding RNA from Cynoglossus semilaevis (tongue sole), 3666 nucleotides. RefSeq lists it as uncharacterized. The record is from RefSeq and is a predicted model, not a curated record. Lineage: Eukaryota; Metazoa; Chordata; Actinopteri; Pleuronectiformes; Cynoglossidae. The transcript is spliced from 5 exons.